RNAcentral lists this transfer RNA (69 nucleotides) under Bolinus brandaris (purple dye murex). RNAcentral's name for it is "tRNA-Glu". It matches the Rfam family "tRNA". From Rfam's summary of the family: Transfer RNA (tRNA) molecules are approximately 80 nucleotides in length. Their secondary structure includes four short double-helical elements and three loops (D, anti-codon, and T loops). The record is from RNAcentral. Lineage: Eukaryota; Metazoa; Mollusca; Gastropoda; Neogastropoda; Muricidae.
GUUUCUAUGGUGUAAAAAAGCACGUUAGAUUUUCAUUCUAAAAGAAUAACACAAGUUUAUUAGAAAUAA